GACCUGCGGAGGGAUCAUUACCCAAUAUGAAGGCGGGCUGGAAACCCCUAGCUGGGCACUGCUUCACGGCGUGCGCGGUUUAGGCCGGCUCUGCUGAAUUAUUUCACCCGUGUCUUUUGCGUACUACUUGUUUCCUGGGCAGGCUUGCCUGCCCUCAGGACCAACCAAUAAACCUUUUGUAAUAGCAAUCAGCGUCAGUAACAAUGUAAUCAAUUACAACUUUCAACAACGGAUCUCUUGGUUCUGGCAUCGAUGAAGAACGCAGCGAAAUGCGAUACGUAGUGUGAAUUGCAGAAUUCAGUGAAUCAUCGAAUCUUUGAACGCACAUUGCGCCCUUUGGUAUUCCAAAGGGCAUGCCUGUUCGAGCGUCAUUUGUACCCUCAAGCUUUGCUUGGUGUUGGGCGUCUUUUGUCUCCAGCUUGCUGGAGACUCGCCUUAAAGUCAUUGGCAGCCGGCCUACUGGUUUCGGAGCGCAGCACAAGUCGCGCUCUAGCCCAGCCAAGGUCAGCGUCCAGUAAGCCUUUUUUCAACCUUUGACCUCGGAUCAGGUAGGGAUACCCGCUGAACUUAAGCAUAUCAAUAAGCGGAGGAAAAGAAACCAACAGGGAUUGCCCUAGUAACGGCGAGUGAAGCGGCAACAGCUCAAUUUGAAAUCUGGCUCUUUCAGGGUCCGAGUUGUAAUUUGCAGAGGGCGCUUUGGCUUUGGCAGCGGUCCAAGUUCCUUGGAACAGGACGUCACAGAGGGUGAGAAUCCCGUACGUGGUCGCUGGCUA
RNAcentral lists this ribosomal RNA (773 nucleotides) under fungal endophyte. RNAcentral describes it as "eukaryotic LSU rRNA". The stretch from base 535 to 773 matches the Rfam family "Eukaryotic large subunit ribosomal RNA", at positions 1 to 238 of the family's 3401-position model. Lineage: Eukaryota; Fungi. The record is from RNAcentral.